CUGUUGUAGACGCUGCCCCUGUGCGGGCCUGCCUAUCUUCCUUCUUCAGCCUCGGAUCCUCCCCCUCCGCCGACCCUCGCUACUGUCAUGAGGGAGGCAGAGGCGGUGCGGUAUGACCGCCAAAUUCGGCUAUGGGGCAAAUCGACCCAGCAGCAGCUGAUGCACACAAGCGUCGCGCUGCACGGUGUUGCCGGUGCCGCUGCGGAGGCAGCAAAGAAUUUGGUCCUGGCAGGGGUGCGCGCGGUGGCCGUCGCCGAUGAAGGCCUUGUCACAGAUGCCGACGUGUGCACCAACUACUUGAUGCAGGGCGAGGCGGGAGGCACGCGCGGCGCUCGCGCGCUCGGCGCACUGCAGCGACUGAACCCACACGUUUCGGUGUACGACGCAGUCACCAAACUGGAUGGCUCUUCGGGAACACGGGUGACGAUGGCUGCCGUGAUCACUGAAGAGGACGCCGUACCGCAUGUGCAAGCUGCUUUGCCGUGCGCUGACAUCGUCGCACUGCAUGCCACGUGCGGGCCCACUGUUCUGGCGCUCUUCCUCUAUCGGCGGCUGCCGGCGCACUCGUUGGCAGAGCAGUGGCGUUGCCUCGUGGCAGAACCGAGUCUUUUGGCAGAGAAGCCGCGCGGCUACCAGAGAGCCGUUUUGGCGCUGCACGUGCGUACAGAAGCCGUGUCGCUUGGGUUCGCCGCUGCCGCCGGGAAGGCAUACGAGGUGGUGAGCCGGUUGCAACUCCAGCAGCUGACGGCCGCCGAUGUGCAGGAAGUACUGCAGACCUGUGCGCACGGCGCCGGCUCGGCAGACUGCGUUAGCGACACGAUUGCCGGCGCGUGCAUCGCUCAGCACCUGAUCCGCCAAAUCGGCGCCCUCAACCAGCCGCCGGACGCGCAGUCGUAUCACUGGAUGCUCUGCGAGUGCGGCGCAGAGGUGGAGUGCCUUGUCGGGUUGUAGCGAAGACGAAAGUAACGGUGAACGGCGGCGGCCGUGUGAGUGGGAGUAAGUGUGUGGUGCACGGCACUGAUUCUGAAGGCGAAAGAGCAACACGGCAGAGCGCGGGGGCUUGCCGGCCCCCGCGGCAGAUCGCCCAGCGGCCGCCCCACCAAGCGGGCAGACCAUG
RNAcentral lists this unclassified non-coding RNA (1117 nucleotides) under Leishmania donovani. Its description in RNAcentral is "gene:LdHU3.28.0460(CDS-product:ubiquitin_activati ng_enzyme_putative)". Lineage: Eukaryota; Euglenozoa; Kinetoplastea; Trypanosomatida; Trypanosomatidae. The record is from RNAcentral.